CGUGUAGGCGGGAUUGCAGGUCAGAUGUGAAAACUGGGGGCUCAACCUCCAGCCUGCAUUUGAAACUGUAGUUCUUGAGUGCUGGAGAGGCAAUCGGAAUUCCGUGUGUAGCGGUGAAAUGCGUAGAUAUACGGAGGAACACCAGUGGCGAAGGCGGAUUGCUGGACAGUAACUGACGCUGAGGCGCGAAAGCGUGGGGAGCAAACA
This 207-nucleotide ribosomal RNA is filed under the name uncultured bacterium. RNAcentral's name for it is "partial 16S ribosomal RNA". It matches the Rfam family "Bacterial small subunit ribosomal RNA", at positions 568 to 774 of the family's 1533-position model. The record is from RNAcentral.